This 273-nucleotide long non-coding RNA is filed under the name Panax ginseng (ginseng). RNAcentral's name for it is "long non-coding RNA (PGIN_LNC011717)". The record is from RNAcentral. Lineage: Eukaryota; Viridiplantae; Streptophyta; Magnoliopsida; Apiales; Araliaceae.
UCUGUUGUUACAUUAAUGAAUUCCUUCUCCUUCAAUUCAAGUUCCCUAACCCGUUUAUCAAUAAAUCAAGCACCCCUCUUUACCGAAUCUUCAAACAAAUCAAGCUCUCCUUGGCCUGAUUUUCAAAAUACGCCUCUUUCGAAUUGAUAACCUUCAGUUUCUCCCCAAUCAAUUCAUUGAUCGGCUCAAAUUAAUUGCUUAUUUACCAAUUCCAUCAGUUCUUUGGUGCCGAAUUCUUGAACAGAAAUCGAGAUUCGACUUGAAGAACAGAAG